AUGGCCUCCGCCGAGAAUAACAAAGACUGCCACCCUAGCGACAAGGCCGCGCUUCUGGCCAUCAAGUCCGCCUUCGGCAAUCAGAGCCACUUCGCCUCAUGGACUCCUUCCACCCCGUGCUGCGAAUGGCACGACGACACUUGCAACGACGCCGGUCGCGUCAUCUCCCUCAUCUUCUUCGUGGAUGUCAACCUCACGGGCACCAUCCCGGACGCCAUUUCCGGCCUCACCGAGCUUCUCGUCCUCAACCUCUAUUACCUCCCGGCCAUCUCCGGCCCUAUCCCCAAGGGAAUCGCCAAGCUAUCCAAGCUCACCUCGCUCACCAUCGCUCUUACCGCCGUUUCGGGCCCCAUUCCGUCCUUCCUGGGCGAACUGACCAGGCUCAAAGAACUCACCCUCUUCUCCAACUCCCUCUCCGGCACCAUCCCGGCCUCGCUCGGGGGCCUCCGUUACUUAGAUUCCAUCGAGCUCAGAAACAACAGUCUCACAGGCACCAUCCCGCCGCUCUUCUCCAAAUCCACUCUUCUCCCAGUCCUUUUGCUCUCCAACAACCACCUCUCCGGCUCCAUCCCGGCAGAGUUCGCUGCAGUCGGCUUCCUGCAAGUCGACCUCUCCCACAACGCUCUCACGGGCGACGCGUCCGUGUUCUUCGGAAGGACAAAGGAACUGCAAAGCAUUGACCUGUCCCACAACGCCCUCAGCUUCGACCUCUCCAGCGUGGAGUUCCCGGAGGAGAUGCAAGCCAUGGAUGCGAGCCACAACGCCAUCCGCGGCGGCAUCCCAGCGCAGGUGGCGAAUGUGACGAACCUGCGGCAGUUCAACGUGAGCUACAACAAGCUGUGCGGCCAGGUUCCGGCCGCCUUGGCAAGGUUGGAUGCCUACAGCUUCCGGGGCAACAAGUGCCUGUGCGGUGCGCCCCUCCCAGAUCCAUGCAAGAAAUAA
Molecule: ribosomal RNA, 942 nt
Filed under: Triticum aestivum (bread wheat)
Lineage: Eukaryota; Viridiplantae; Streptophyta; Magnoliopsida; Poales; Poaceae
Description: partial small subunit ribosomal RNA
Source: RNAcentral